This 471-nucleotide ribosomal RNA is filed under the name Paenibacillus provencensis. Its description in RNAcentral is "bacterial SSU rRNA". It matches the Rfam family "Bacterial small subunit ribosomal RNA", at positions 24 to 474 of the family's 1533-position model. The record is from RNAcentral. Lineage: Bacteria; Bacillati; Bacillota; Bacilli; Caryophanales; Paenibacillaceae.
UCAGGACGAACGCUGGCGGCGUGCCUAAUACAUGCAAGUCGAGCGGAGUCGAUGAGGAGCUUGCUUCUCUGAGACUUAGCGGCGGACGGGUGAGUAACACGUAGGUAACCUGCCCAUAAGACUGGGAUAACUACCGGAAACGGUAGCUAAUACCGGAUAGGUUCUUCUCUCGCAUGGGAGAGGAAAGAAAGACGGAGCAAUCUGUCACUUAUGGAUGGACCUGCGGCGCAUUAGCUAGUUGGUGGGGUAACGGCUCACCAAGGCGACGAUGCGUAGCCGACCUGAGAGGGUGAUCGGCCACACUGGGACUGAGACACGGCCCAGACUCCUACGGGAGGCAGCAGUAGGGAAUCUUCCGCAAUGGGCGAAAGCCUGACGGAGCAACGCCGCGUGAGUGAUGAAGGUUUUCGGAUCGUAAAGCUCUGUUGCCAGGGAAGAACGUCUCUUAGAGUAACUGCUAAGAGAGUGACG